This is a non-coding RNA of Apaloderma vittatum (bar-tailed trogon), 79 nucleotides long. The record is from Rfam. NCBI's taxonomy places the organism in Eukaryota, Metazoa, Chordata, Aves, Trogoniformes, Trogonidae.
GGCCGGUUAGCUCAGUGGGUUGAGCGUGAUGCUGAUAACAACAACACCAAGGUCGCGGGUUCGGUUCCCGCUCAGUCUC